Molecule: ribosomal RNA, 407 nt
Filed under: Verrucomicrobiota bacterium
Lineage: Bacteria; Pseudomonadati; Verrucomicrobiota
Description: Verrucomicrobia bacterium partial 16S ribosomal RNA
Rfam family: Bacterial small subunit ribosomal RNA
Source: RNAcentral
UGGGGAAUAUUGGACAAUGGAGGGAACUCUGAUCCAGCUAUUCUGUGUGUGUGAAGAAGGUUUUAGGACUGUAAAACACUUUUAGUAGGGAAGAAAAAAAUGACGGUACCUACAGAAGAAGCAACGGCUAAAUACGUGCCAGCAGCCGCGGUAAUACGUAUGUUGCGAGCGUUAUCCGGAAUUAUUGGGCUUAAAGGGCAUCUAGGCGGUAAGACAAGUUGAAGGUGAAAACCUGUGGCUCAACCAUAGGCUUGCCUACAAAACUGUUGAACUAGAGUACUGGAAAGGUGGGUGGAACUACACGAGUAGAGGUGAAAUUCGUAGAUAUGUGUAGGAAUGCCGAUGAUGAAGAUAACUCACUGGACAGAAACUGACGCUGAAGUGCGAAAGCUAGGGGAGCAAACAGG